UCCUAAAAACACUCAUUUGGUUACUCCCGAGGCUUUAUCCUCCAAGGUCCACAUGAGGAUUGCAACCUGUGUGCAGGCGCUCGGGGCGUGCGCGCCGACGGAGGCCCGGCUGAGUCUGAGGCCACAUGGGUGAAAAUCAGCCACCCCACCGAUGCCCACAGCCCCAGAGGACCAAGAGGUCAGCAAACAUCCGGAAAAGAAAGCAGACAGUGAGAGAGACCUCGGGGCCCAGCCCAGCACGUCAGAGGUCAAAACCCGAGCUCCCAGCCAGGAGCCUCCACACAUUUGGCUGAGACGUGUCCCCCUCUGUGGCCCUGCGAGCGUGGCCUGUGGACUCUGAAUUGCAAAGGUUUUAGUGGCCCCAGUGGUUCAAGGUCAUGCUCCAGACUUCACCUCAGUGGAAAGAAGCAGGGCCCAGGAUGUGUCCAAAGUGAGCGACGGUCACGCAGCCUCAUCUACCCUCACUGGGCCAGGAUGCAGUGGUGUUGGUGCCGAAAGUGCGCACUGGAUUUUCUACGAGUGGAAUAUGCAGGGCACACUGCUUCCUUGAUGUUCAGGAGGGUACAGGAAGAGGAGGGAAGAGUCUCAGCGCAUAAGCCCGGAGCCUGAUCCUUCCUGGGGUCUGAGCACCGGAGCCUUGACGUCCCCGUCUGCAAAAUGGGAUGGCACGACUGACAACAACUGUUGGUUCCCGGCCAAGGCACAGCUCCGAGCACCUUCGUCCCUCCUUUGAGAAGGCGACACUCACAGCUACACACAGGGAGCACUUACUAUGCGCCGGCCCGGCGCCAAGCCCGUCGUGCAGGCAACACCUUAAUCCUCGCCGUUGUCUGGUGAGGUGGACACUGACUGUUACUCUCUCCCCGCGUCCCUAUUGGGGAAACUGAGGCCCCAGGAGGACUGGUAGUUUCCAUGGUUAGGAAGUUGGGGGGCUAGGAGGUGAGCCCCGCAGUGGGGCCCCAGGACCUGGGCUUGGGGCUGCCACACCACGACCCCCCCAAGCCGGGUCCCCAGGGGCCAGGGCCAUGCGUGUCAUCGUCCUCAUCGUGCUCUGACACUGCCAGGCAGCCCAGGAGGGAGGCAGCGAGGUUUAGGGGAGACAGGUCUCCCUCCUUCCCGGGCGCAGAGGGGCAGGGGCCCUGCGGGUGCUCCUACGUGACCAGCGAGGGCACAGCCCCACUCCGUGUGGGAGGAAGCCGCGGCGGGGCUGGAGACCGCGCUGGGGCAGCUGCACAGCCAGACACCAGGAAGGAAAGCCAGAUCGCCUGCUGCCCUUCCGGCGGGGCCGGGGGCCCUGGCCAGCGAGGAGUGGGGCUGCAAGGGCAGGCAUCCCCUGUAAUUCCUGGGCCUCCGUGUUCAGAUUUGGGGCUUCUCAGCAAGAUGCCCUGGGACCAGACUCUAGAGGCUGGCAGACAAAUGUUUCAGCCGUACUCGAGCAAUUCCUAACUGGGGGCCUCAGAGCCUCGCAGCCCCCCACCCAUCGCCGCCGCGCCUGCCGUCCCUCGGGGCCUUCAGUGCUGCCAGGACCCUCCCAGGCCUUGGGAGGAGGCCUCCCUGCAAAGUUGCCAGAGGAUUUAGAAGCCUCAAGGGGGCCAAGGGGCCACCUUGCAGUCCAACUGUGGGAGAGAGGAAGUGCCCUCCCGCCCCCACUGAGGCCACACCUGCCCGGGGGCUCGGGCUGUUACCGUUCCACGAGGCCGUGGAGUAAGGUGUUUGGGCCUCAGCCCUGUAUCUAGGCAGGCUUCCUUGCUCCUUGCCCCAAUACUGUGUGGCGUCAGGAAAAUGAAUUCACCUCUCUGGACUUGAGUUAUGCUCCAUUCAAGGGGACUAAAAGUAGCUCUUACCGCAUGGGCUCGUGGGUUCAGUGGAUUGGUGCUAUGUAGUGCUUAGAA
This is a long non-coding RNA of Camelus dromedarius (Arabian camel), 1892 nucleotides long. RefSeq lists it as uncharacterized. The record is from RefSeq and is a predicted model, not a curated record. Lineage: Eukaryota; Metazoa; Chordata; Mammalia; Artiodactyla; Camelidae. The transcript is spliced from 4 exons.